GCGCACGCACUCAGACACACACACACACACACACACAGGUAUAAAACCACAUCAUCUUUUCUUCACUUAUGCCUCUAUCAGUGGACUCGUAGGUUAUUUUUUCAUAGCUUCUUGAUGUGGAUAUUUUUGAUGUUUCAGCCUUUCUUCUUUUCUAGUAUGGGCUGUGGCAGGCACAGACAAGCCUUCAAGAAAAAGCCGCCCCCCCCCUGCCAUCAGCCUCUGGCAGUCACCUCCCUCAGGUCUGCUCCAGUUUCAAGCCAAGGUACUGAGACAGAUGUGUUAAAAUCUCCAAUUAUUCGACACAAAUCCCUGCACGUGAAUGUUUACAGCAGCUUUAUUCAUAAUUGUCAAAACUUGGACGCAACCAAGAUGUCUUUCAGUGGGCGAAUGGUAAGUAAACUGUGGUCCAGGCAGAGAAUGGGGUAGUACUCAGUGCUAAAUAUAAAUGAACUAUGAAGCCAUGAAAGACUUGGGGGAAACUUAAAUACAUUUUACUAAGUGAAAGAAGCCAAUCUAAAACGGCUACAUACAGUAUGAUUCCAACUACACGACACUCUGGGAAAGGCAAAAAACUCUGGAGCGGGAAGAAGAUCAGUGAUUGCCGGGCAUUGGAGGGGAGGCAGGAUGAAGGGGGAGAACACAGGGGGCCUGGGGGACGGUGGAACUGCUCUGUAUGGUGCUCUGUAAAUGGUACUUGUCACUACACGUUUGUCCAGACCAUAGACUGUGCAGCACCGAGGGUGACCUCUGAUGGAGGCAGUGGGCUUUGGGGGAUGGUGACGCAUCAGUGGCAUUGUCAGUUGUAACGGGUGUUCCCCUCCGGUGCGGGACGUUGAUGAUAUGGGAGGCUUUGCUUGUGUGCAGCAGGGGGAUAUAUGAGAAAUCCCUUUACUUUGUUUCAGCUUUGCUAUAAACCUAAAACUGCUCUAAGAAAUAAAGUCUAUUUUCAGACAGUCAAAGAAGGGAGAGUUGGCUGGGAAGGAGUUGAAAGGAGCUCUUGUGGGGCAGGCAAUUGAAACAUGACCCUCUGAAAAGCUGGGCGGCCAGCCUGGUUGUGAGCAGACAGCAGGAUGGCGAUGUGGCUAAGUCUUCGGCUGCGUGGUUGCCUCGGGUUCUUUGCCACCAGGUGAGAACAUGGAGAUCAGAGGUGACUUAUUGUCUUAUUUACACAUAAAACGUAGGGGAAAACCAUUUCUACACUUAGCUGGAAAUGCUCAUAAGAGACAUGAUCUCUCAACAAACAGUUGCGGAUCUGGGGGUUAGAAAUGAGCCCAGAAGGGCUACAGAAAGGCUAUUUCAGCCAGUUAACAAAAUCCAAGGAAAUAACUUGUGUUCGAGUUGGGGAAGGUUGUGUCUCUCCAGAUCUGCAGAGCAUUAGCUGGGAUCGGGCUCAGGAACCGGCUCAGGAAGACACGCAUACACCCGUGUACACACAUGCACACGCACGCUUGCGUACCUGCACGGACACACACACUGCAAACACACACGCAUGACUAAGCACUUAACACAAGUUGGAGAAUUCUGGCAAGUGAGUCAUUGGAUUUUGUUUUUCACUCCAGCCCUUCCUCUUAGAUCUGGAGGUAACAGGUGUUCAUCAGAAAACAUUGGAAAGUCCAGAAAAAUCAUCCACAAUGCUACUUCCUAGUAACAAACAGUGGCGACAGUUGGCACAUUUUUUUCUUUGCACGUGUUAAAUACAGAUCAGCUUGGACAAGCAGUUACACUCAGCCCUGCUUUUCUCUCCCACUUAACACAUCUGUAUUCUGUAUAUCCCGUGUUUCUAAAUAGUAUUUUCAUCAUGACGAUACAUUCUUUCAUGUGGGUGGUUCACAGUUUCCCCAGUGCUCUCUCAUUAGACAUCGAAGUUGUUACAGUUUUUCCAAUAAUAAAAUGAGUCACUGCGGUCAGCUCUCCCUGUGUCCUCUGUCUUGGUUGCCUUCAGUUUCGGGUGUCAGUGAAGUCCCUGAAAGGCUUGAGUUCAGUCCUCAGUCUGUUGUGACCCUGACACUCUCCAUGGGGUUUCCCACCUCCAGC
Vicugna pacos (alpaca) is the source of this 2034-nucleotide non-coding RNA. The record is from RefSeq and is a predicted model, not a curated record. NCBI's taxonomy places the organism in Eukaryota, Metazoa, Chordata, Mammalia, Artiodactyla, Camelidae.